GAGUUUGACACCUCUGGAUUAAGGAGUUUGCUCACCCAAUUGAAGAAAAUGGAUCCAUAGAAACAACGGUGUUAAAACUUAAUCACAACAUGAUAUCCAUCUAUCCUGAAUGAAGAACGUACCUUCAUUAAGGUGUAAUUGCAACAUGAACGGCAAAUUACAGGGCAACUUGGUUCUUGAGGUUC
Molecule: long non-coding RNA, 185 nt
Organism: Xiphophorus hellerii (green swordtail)
Lineage: Eukaryota; Metazoa; Chordata; Actinopteri; Cyprinodontiformes; Poeciliidae
Exons: 3
Source: RefSeq, a predicted model, not a curated record